Molecule: long non-coding RNA, 200 nt
Filed under: Medicago truncatula (barrel medic)
Lineage: Eukaryota; Viridiplantae; Streptophyta; Magnoliopsida; Fabales; Fabaceae
Description: long non-coding RNA (MTRU_LNC006472)
Source: RNAcentral
UAGUUAACCCUAACCGUGUCUCUCUCUCUCUUCCCCCUCGCGCUCCUCUCUUUCAAAUUCAAACACAUUCAAUGGCUGAUAGCUCCAACGAAGUUCAGACAAACAUCUACCGCCACCUUCAACCUAUCAUCUCCGAACGUCUUCUAACACCGGAACAGGCUGAUACUAUCGUCAAGUUCAUCUCCACUGACUACCCCGUU